This 396-nucleotide ribosomal RNA is filed under the name uncultured bacterium. RNAcentral describes it as "partial 16S ribosomal RNA". It matches the Rfam family "Bacterial small subunit ribosomal RNA", at positions 523 to 918 of the family's 1533-position model. The record is from RNAcentral.
AUACGGAGGGUGCAAGCGUUAAUCGGAAUUACUGGGCGUAAAGCGCACGCAGGCGGUUUGUUAAGUCAGAUGUGAAAUCCCCGGGCUCAACCUGGGAACUGCAUCUGAUACUGGCAAGCUUGAGUCUCGUAGAGGGGGGAAGAAUUCCCGGUGUAGCGGGGGAAUGCGUAGAGAUCUGGAGGAAUACCGGUGGCGAAGGGGGCCCCCUGGACGAAGACUGACGCUCAGGUGCGAAAGCGUGGGGAGCAAACAGGAUUAGAUACCCUGGUAGUCCACGCCGUAAACGAUGUCGACUUGGAGGUUGUGCCCUUGAGGCGUGGCUUCCGGAGCUAACGCGUUAAGUCGACCGCCUGGGGAGUACGGCCGCAAGGUUAAAACUCAAAUGAAUUGACGGGG